This 67-nucleotide transfer RNA is filed under the name Marmota monax (woodchuck). RNAcentral describes it as "tRNA.Ala". It matches the Rfam family "tRNA", at positions 6 to 65 of the family's 71-position model. From Rfam's summary of the family: Transfer RNA (tRNA) molecules are approximately 80 nucleotides in length. The record is from RNAcentral. Lineage: Eukaryota; Metazoa; Chordata; Mammalia; Rodentia; Sciuridae.
GGCUGUAGCUCAGUGGUAGAGUGCUUGCCUAGCAUGCGUGAGGCACUGGGUUCUAUCCUCAGCACCA